CGAACGGGUGAGUAACACGUGGGCAACCUGCCCAAAAGAGGGGGAUAACACUUGGAAACAGGUGCUAAUACCGCAUAACCAUAGUUACCGCAUGGUAACUAUGUAAAAGGUGGCUAUGCUACCGCUUUUGGAUGGGCCCGCGACGCAUUAGCUAGUUGGUGGGGUAAAGGCUUACCAAGGCAAUGAUGCGUAGCCGAACUGAGAGGUUGAUCGGCCACAUUGGGACUGAGACACGGCCCAAACUCCUACGGAAGGCAGCAG
RNAcentral lists this ribosomal RNA (261 nucleotides) under uncultured bacterium. Its description in RNAcentral is "partial 16S ribosomal RNA". It matches the Rfam family "Bacterial small subunit ribosomal RNA", at positions 99 to 354 of the family's 1533-position model. The record is from RNAcentral.